UUAGCUCAGGUGGUAGAGCAGGAGGCUUUUAACCUCUGUGUCAUAGGUUCGAAUCCUAUA
RNAcentral lists this transfer RNA (60 nucleotides) under Legionella tucsonensis. It matches the Rfam family "tRNA", at positions 7 to 64 of the family's 71-position model. Rfam says of the family: Transfer RNA (tRNA) molecules are approximately 80 nucleotides in length. Their secondary structure includes four short double-helical elements and three loops (D, anti-codon, and T loops). Further hydrogen bonds mediate the characteristic L-shaped molecular structure. tRNAs have two regions of fundamental functional importance: the anti-codon, which is responsible for specific mRNA codon recognition, and the 3' end, to which the tRNAs corresponding amino acid is attached (by aminoacyl-tRNA synthetases). tRNAs cope with the degeneracy of the genetic code in two manners: having more than one tRNA (with a specific anti-codon) for a particular amino acid; and 'wobble' base-pairing, i.e. permitting non-standard base-pairing at the 3rd anti-codon position. Lineage: Bacteria; Pseudomonadati; Pseudomonadota; Gammaproteobacteria; Legionellales; Legionellaceae. The record is from Rfam by way of RNAcentral.